GUCUGUGUGAGUAAGUCCUGAGCCAUUGCGGUGGUUUGGAAACUUGAACCAUAUGCUGGGUUAAAGUGGUUUUGUAAUAACAGCAGCUAACAUAUGAGUACAAGGAACCGAGUAGGCACUUUACCUGCCUCUCAUUUCAUCUCCUGCCAGGGCCGUGAGGUCAAUCUUAUUGUCUCCUUCAUUGCCUUUAUGUGACGUGCCCAGGGACUCCAGGUCGGUAGCAGCAGAGCUGGGACUGAGAUCUGAGCUAACAAUCUCCCAAGCCCGUGCCCCUGACCCGACUCCACACAGCUCAGAAGACGAGCACACUGGAGGGAGGCGAAAGGAGAGGAGAUAUUUGUUCCAUGUUAUGGAAACUUCUUUUUCCUCCAGAUGCUGUAGGUAUUUAAGAACAAUACCAGACCUUCCUGCACUUCAACACCUUCUCUCCCAGAACACAAUGCUGCCUGCAUGUAAUGGGCCCUCGGAGAAUGUUUGUGGGAUGAGUGAAUUGACGGACACUGAAUUGGAAACUACAUUGCAUUCACCUCAUUACAGCUCUACCUUCAGCACCACUGAGCUGUCCACAGCACUCUCUGGAACUGGAGAGUACGGAGUGGAUGAGUUAUUGUGAGAGUGGGUUCAUCACAAAAGCACUUCUCUCUACUCUCUCGUGCCCUCUUGUCUUCUGCCAUGGGAUGACACAGCAAGAAGGCUCUCACCAGAUGCCAAUGACAUGCUCUUGGACUUCCUAGCAUCCAAACCUAUGAGCCAAAUAAAUUUCUGUUCUUUUUAAACUGCCUAGUCUGUGAUAUUCUGUCAUAGUAACAUAAAAUGAACUAAGACAUCUCCCUUUGAAUGGGCUUGACCUCUCUAUCAAAUGCCAAGCUGAAGAUAAUGACUUCUGUCUCCAAAAUCCAUCCAGUUACCUCCCAUUUGCUAGUUUUGACCUCUGGGCACGCAUUCUUGCUUUUUCUGGUUUUCCAACCCUCAUUUAGUUCUGCAUCUGAUCUCUGGGUACUAAUAUCAGCACUCACCCACUCUUUGUUGAUAAUCACUGUGGAUCUCUUUCCCUGGAUCAAGCACCACUCUCUUCCAUAUAGUCCAUCCUGAUCUUUUCCCCUCAAGCCCUUUGCACAAUGGCUCUGAAAAGAUGCAUAUCUCUUCAGUUUGCUUCUGCACUAGGAAGCAGAAUAGGCCAUCUUGUUGUUCAAGGCCAGCUUGCUUAAAGUGAACACUCUUGGCAUCUUUUCUCUUUGGCUGCUACAGUUCAAUACUGAAGUUCUACUAUGCUAGAUACUAAGUAUAUACAGAUGAAUAAGACAAAAAUACCUGCUUUUAGGAAGCUUACAAUCUGGUGGGAGAGAGAAAGCAGCAAAUAAGUAAAAUAUAUCAAUCAAGAUUCAGUUUCAGGACAAGCUUAGGUAAAAAAGAAAAGAGAGGGUGUUAAGAGAGAUGAAGUUAUUAGUUCAUUAUAUCAUAUAACUUAAAAGUUGAAAAGUAAAUGUUUUUAGGCAUGACAAGAUCCAGGGCUUCUAAUGUCCUGAGGACCGUGUCCCUCUCCUCUUUCCAGUCCCCUUUUCUCUGCCUUGGCUUUACUCUC
RNAcentral lists this long non-coding RNA (1582 nucleotides) under Papio anubis (olive baboon). RNAcentral's name for it is "lncRNA (ENSPANG00000045016.1)". The record is from RNAcentral. Lineage: Eukaryota; Metazoa; Chordata; Mammalia; Primates; Cercopithecidae.